GACGAACGCUGGCGGCGUGCUUAACACAUGCAAGUCGAACGGAAAGGCCCUGCUCUUGUGGGGUGCUCGAGUGGCGAACGGGUGAGUAACACGUGAGUAACCUGCCCUUGACUUUGGGAUAACUUCAGGAAACUGGGGCUAAUACCGGAUAGGAGCUCCUGCUUCAUGGUGGGGGUUGGAAAGUUUCGGCUGUUGGGGAUGGACUGGCGGCUUAUCAGCUUGUUGGUGGGGUAGUGGCUUACCAAGGCUUUGACGGGUAGCCGGCCUGAGAGGGUGACCGGCAACAUUGGGACUGAGCUACGAACGAGAGUCCUACGGGAGGCAGCAGUGGGGAUUAUUGCGCAAUGGACGGAAGCCUGAGGUUGAAGCGCUGCGUGCGGGAUAACGGCAUUCGGGUUGUCAAACGCUUUCGGCUGUGACGAAGCGUGAGUGACGGUAAUGGGUAAAGAAGCACCGGGUAACUACGUG
RNAcentral lists this ribosomal RNA (468 nucleotides) under uncultured bacterium. RNAcentral describes it as "partial 16S ribosomal RNA". It matches the Rfam family "Bacterial small subunit ribosomal RNA", at positions 28 to 507 of the family's 1533-position model. The record is from RNAcentral.